CUAAAGUUAGGAUUUCAUUGAUAUGGUUAGCAAUAUUAUAGAAGUGAUGAUUCCAAGUUUAAAAAUUAGAUGAGUCCCUAUUGUUUUCAAACCUCUCUUAGAGAGAUUGCUCUUGUAUGUUUUGCUUGAGGACAAGCAAAAGAGUAAGUCUAGGGGAGUUGAUAGGCUAUAGAUUUUACCCAUUUUUAGCUAUGGUUUAUAUACGUUUUUAGAGUCUUUUAUAUGCAUUUGGACCCUUUUUAGAGUAAUUACAGGUUCGUGUACUUACUAGAGGAAAAUGAGGUUUUUGGAGCAAUUUGGAGACUAUUUGAGAGCAUUGCUGGAAACAGAGGAAGAGUCGAUUUUUGUAUCAGAACAUCGACCGACGAUUACCAAGCAUAAUCGAUUGAUGGAAAGCUCCUAGCAUCGAUCGA
Molecule: long non-coding RNA, 413 nt
Filed under: Brassica napus (rape)
Lineage: Eukaryota; Viridiplantae; Streptophyta; Magnoliopsida; Brassicales; Brassicaceae
Description: long non-coding RNA (BNAP_LNC022075)
Source: RNAcentral